RNAcentral lists this long non-coding RNA (2147 nucleotides) under Capra hircus (goat). Its description in RNAcentral is "lncRNA (ENSCHIG00010029860.1)". The record is from RNAcentral. Lineage: Eukaryota; Metazoa; Chordata; Mammalia; Artiodactyla; Bovidae.
AUGGCCAGAUGUAGGAUUCCAAGUAUUUUAAUGUUUUAUAAUAUCAAAUUGAAAAACUGCUGGUUGGUGUUUGCCACAGGAUUAGUUUUCACAGAUGGCUCAGAAAAAUGGACACAUAUAACAGCAUAUGGUAGAGUUCUUUUAAUUAGGAAGUUUUACUGCACCAUAAUGAUAAAACAGAAAUUUAAAAGGCAUGAAGACUUUAAUUAUCUGUGAUUAUGUUAUGACAUAACUCUCUUGUUUUCACUAAAUCAAUCUCCCCAUGUUAUUAGGCUGUUGAUAUUUUGAUCAUGUACAUAAUUCUUAAAAGCUAGAGUAAAUAAUAGGCCAGGUUAUAUUCAUGUAAUUGUACACAAGCCAAAUUUACAAACAAUUACCAAAAUCAAUAUAUAUACAGAGGAAAAAUUAGAUGAACUGAAAAAGCAGGUUAUCAAGUCUCACUAAGUUUUUAUCUCAAGACAUUAUUAUUUAUAUUUUGCUUGACCACUGAUUCAACUAAUGUAGGAAGAGCUAACCCAAGGGAUUUGAUCUAGCACACUCAUAAAUGAAAAAUGAUAUAUAUGAGUUUAUCUCCUGCUAUGAGUUUUGGAAUUGAGAUAUGGUACGGUGACACAUUAUUAUAAACUGAAUGUUUGUCCCCCUGACCCCGUUAAUAUGUUGAAUCUCUAACUCCUAGUAUGAUAUUUGGAGGUGAGGGUCUUGGGAGAUAAUUGUGUUCAGAUGAAGUCAUGAAGGUGGAAUUCCCAUGAUGGGAUUUGUAUGCUUAGAAGAAGAGGAAGAGAGAUCAGAGCUUCUCUUUCUUUGCCUUGUGAACCCAUGGUUGGAAGCCAGGAAGAGGAUCUUCCCCAGGGACUGAAUCCGUCAGCAUCUUGAUCUUGGACCCCCAUCCUCCAGAGCUGUGAAAAAUAAGUAUCUCUUGUUUUAGCAACUUGGUCUGUGGUAUUUUAUUUUAGCAGCCUGAGCUGACUGAGACAACAGGGCACCCUGAUGAGGUUGGGAUCAGAAGGUAGAUCAAAUUGGAGGCACCAAUUCAUUCAUCUCAGUUUUAUACCCACCAUAGGAGAUUGUGGGAAGAAGAACUGAACCUUGAGUAGCCAGUGAACUCCUUGAAUCUAAAUCUCUGAUGUGUGCUGGUCUAGUUGUGUAUGUUCCUGAUGAGAAUGUUUGAAACCAGAUCUUACCUUAUAUUUUGUUGAGUGUUACAAUGAGUAGGUUACCCUGUGUUUCUCAACUUAUUGGACUCUCAAGAGGAAUUGAUGGGACAUCUAGAUCAUUUUUUUCAUAGCUGGAUGUUCCUUUUGACCUCAGGUAGAAAAUAUUGGGUAAUUUUCUUUCUCCAACUAAACCUCUUUGUAAAUACAGAAAAACAUAAAUAAAAAUUGAAAGGAAAGUAGUCAAACAUAAGUUGUUUAUGCAGAUGGGCAUCAAAAACAUGAAUCAAAGGCAUUUUUAGUAACUUUUGUAUUUAGAGUAUUUGUCAAGGCACUCAUUUAAGCUAAAGUGGGUAGAAGUCAUUUAGUUUCACAAAAUGCCCACAAAUACAUAUCAGUGCUCAUGGGUGCCUCUGUUUAGUGUUUUUCUCAUUCAUACCUCUUAGCCAAAAAAUGAUGUCAGGGAAAAGAAGAAUUUUUUUUUAGAAAUCAAGACAUUGGGAAAAGAUUUUUAANNNNNNNNNNNNNNNNNNNNNNNNNNNNNNNNNNNNNNNNNNNNNNNNNNNNNNNNNNNNNNNNNNNNNNNNNNNNNNNNNNNNNNNNNNNNNNNNNNNAAGACAUUGGGAAAAGAUUUUUAAGAAAAUAUCUUUGAUGAAGCCAAGUAGAAAUGAUAAACAGUGAUCUCUGCAAUAAAGAAUUUGAAUAGUGAUUCAAGUAUAAUAUGGAGUUCAAAGUAACACUAUAUGUAAAGAUGUUAAUUAUGCAAGUGGAGAUUUUAACUAAAUAUUCAAAUUUAUUUUAAAAAUAGGCUUACUUUAAGAGAUUCUUCCUUUUAAUGUUGGCAGGUAGUGCUUUAUUUUCAUGUUUUUGCUGAACACUUUCAUAGUAACCAAUGAUAAUCUUGUCAUAUCAACAAAACUUAUGUUAAUAUUUCUCUAGACAUAGAGAGUUUUCCAAAUUUGCUGGCAUAUUGAGUGCAGCACUUUCACAGGAUCA